This 208-nucleotide ribosomal RNA is filed under the name uncultured bacterium. RNAcentral describes it as "partial 16S ribosomal RNA". It matches the Rfam family "Bacterial small subunit ribosomal RNA", at positions 1284 to 1500 of the family's 1533-position model. The record is from RNAcentral.
GGUCCCAGUUCGGAUUGUAGGCUGCAACCCGCCUACAUGAAGUUGGAAUUGCUAGUAAUCGCAGAUCAGAAUGCUGCGGUGAAUACGUUCCCGGGCCUUGUACACACCGCCCGUCAAGCCAUGGAAGCCGGGGGUGCCUGAAGUGCGCUGCCGCAAGGAGCGUCCUAGGGUAAAACCGGUGACUGGGGCUAAGUCGUAACAAGGUACC